This 301-nucleotide ribosomal RNA is filed under the name uncultured bacterium. RNAcentral describes it as "partial 16S ribosomal RNA". It matches the Rfam family "Bacterial small subunit ribosomal RNA", at positions 509 to 807 of the family's 1533-position model. The record is from RNAcentral.
CAGCCGCCGCGGUAAUAUGUAGGUGGCAAGCGUUGUCCGGAAUUAUUGGGCGUAAAGGGCUCGCAGGCGGUUUCUUAAGUCUGAUGUGAAAGCCCCCGGCUCAACCGGGGAGGGUCAUUGGAAACUGGGAAACUUGAGCGCAGAAGAGGAGAGUGGAAUUCCACGUGUAGCGGUGAAAUGCGUAGAGAUGUGGAGGAACACCAGUGGCGAAGGCGACUCUCUGGUCUGUAACUGACGCUGAGGAGCGAAAGCGUGGGGAGCGAACAGGAUUAGAUACCCCCGUAGUCCCUGUCUCUUAUAC